This 517-nucleotide ribosomal RNA is filed under the name uncultured microorganism. Its description in RNAcentral is "bacterial SSU rRNA". It matches the Rfam family "Bacterial small subunit ribosomal RNA", at positions 9 to 521 of the family's 1533-position model. The record is from RNAcentral.
GAGUUUGAUCCUGGCUCAGAUUGAACGCUGGCGGCAGGCCUAACACAUGCAAGUCGAGCGGAUGAAGGGAGCUUGCUCCUGGAUUCAGCGGUGGACGGGUGAGUAAUGCCUAGGAAUCUGCCUGGUAGUGGGGAUAACGUCCGGAAACGGGCGCUAAUACCGCAUACGUCCUGAGGGAGAAAGUGGGGGAGUCUUCGGACCUCACGCUAUCAGAUGAGCCUAGGUCGGAUUAGCUAGUUGGUGGGGUAAAGGCCUACCAAGGCGACGAUCCGUAACUGGUCUGAGAGGAUGAUCAGUCACACUGGAACUGAGACACGGUCCAGACUCCUACGGGAGGCAGCAGUGGGGAAUAUUGGACAAUGGGCGAAAGCCUGAUCCAGCCAUGCCGCGUGUGUGAAGAAGGUCUUCGGAUUGUAAAGCACUUUAAGUUGGGAGGAAGGGCAGUAAGUUAAUACCUUGCUGUUUUGACGUUACCAACAGAAUAAGCACCGGCUAACUUCGUGCCAGCAGCCGCCGU